RNAcentral lists this long non-coding RNA (1912 nucleotides) under Homo sapiens (human). RNAcentral's name for it is "non-protein coding PROX1-AS1:65". Lineage: Eukaryota; Metazoa; Chordata; Mammalia; Primates; Hominidae. The record is from RNAcentral.
AGUGGGACCGAGCCUCUCUCUCUCUCUCUCUCUCUCUCUCUCUAUCUCUCUCUCUCUCUUUUUUUUCCCCCGGCAGAGAGAGGAAAACACGCGAGUGCACACACGGUGAUAUCUUGCGGGUGAUGAAUAUGAUAAUUGGACAAGGGACGGUGAGUCUGUGCGACAGCGAGCGAGCGAGCGGGGCGAGUGGGAGAGGGAGAGGGGAGAGAGAGGCGGGAGGGGAGGGGAGACGAGAGAAGAGGAGCAGGGGAGAGGCGAGGAGAGGGAAGAAGAGGAGAAGAAAAGAAGAGGAGCUAAGGGAAGAGGAGAGAGCAGGAGAGGAGGAGAGAGAAGAGCGGGAGGAGAGGAGAGAGCAGCAGAGGAGGAGAGAGGAGAAGGGUAAAGAAGAGAAGAGGAGCGAAGCGGAGAGGGAGCAGGCGGACCCGGCGAGAGCUCUUUUGCGCCGCUCUGCUUUCCCCGGCUGCAAUGGUGUAUUAUUUCAGAGCGCUCCCUCAGCUGAGGGCUCCGCUCCACAACAAGAUUUACUUUAAGACACAGCUGAAGGAAACAGGAAGACUGCACGUCACAGUCUAUCUGACGUACCCGGCCCCAGCACCCAAUCGCGAGGCGCCUUCGGAUUCAAGGGGGGAUAGCAAGCUUCGGGACGACUGGAUCGCCGCGCCUGGGCCGGAGCGAGCCAUCUGCGGGCACUAUGCAAAGCGGGAGACGGCGCGAGCGGCGCCCGGCUCACACUAGCUCUUCCAGGACGCAGGUCUUUUUUUUUUUUUUUCUUUUUCUUUUUUCAUUUCCCAGAUACAGCUGAUCGAGUUCGCCGAGUGGCCGAGCGAGUGAGCGCUCCUCCGACUUGGGUGGAGGAAGAUCCUAAACAAACCAAUUCUGAGAAUUACAACCAGAUUCAGUUGAGAGGCAAAAGUGGACGUGGAUUUUGGAAAAGGGUGCCUAAGGACUUCCAGGUCAGCCACCCACCGCUACCACCACCACCACCGCCACCACUACCACCAUCACUAUCAGCACCCUGAAGAAGGGAAGAGAGGAAAACCAACCCCAGGGUGCAGGCCUGCCUGCUGCAAGCUUUCUAGAGGCAAAACUGACUGACGGCCUCUCACUCUCAUCUCCUGUGCUCAGUGUGACGCCAAGCCCAACCUGGAUUUGUUCUGAAUGGGGGGGAAGUGAAAUGCCACAAGAUCAGUAGCAAGUAGCAGCUGCAGCGUUUUCUCUCCUGGGAACCCCACUGCUUAGAAGCCUCCUGAGUGAUGUUUGUUUAACCAACAGCUUUCAAAGUAAACAGAAGCCAAUCACUCCAAAGAAGUUGAAAUAUAACCCUUACAAGAAUUUGGAUCCAGGGGUGCUGGCAGAAAGAAAGUAAUUUUUAAAAUGAUAAAGAACCCACUCCCAAAUAAGAGUCUGCCACAUUGCUUUAAGGAGCGCAGAAUUGUCAUGAAAAUAUAAUUUCAUCGAAAGGGCUAAUUACAAUAAGUUGACCUCGAAGAAAAUCACUCUUCGCCCACAAAGACACACCCGCGGGGAUGAGGAGGUUGUCAGUGAUUGAAGGGACACACUACUACUUGAUUUUAUGGAAGUGGGCGAAAACAAUCAAAGGGAAGUACAUUCCCUGCCCUGGAGUAGUGAAGUGUAGGCUGGGAGCUCUUCGCCGCCAACCCUGGCUUUGCCUCAGGCACCGAACUUUCCAAUACCAAGAUAUUAACAGAUGGUGGUGAGCACAUGGAGGGCUGCUACUUACAUAAUCUAGCCACUCCGCCCGGCUGCCCAGAGCCCGGCGAGGAACCGGCCAGGCCGCGCGCGCGCCUUCCGAGGGGUGCUCCCUGACAUAACUUGCCUUUCUCCAACCCCACCCAUCGUUUUGAGGGUUAGCAUUUGGAGAGGCCGUGAUUUAAAAAAACCAAACAAAAAC